CAGUAGCCGCGGUAAUACGAAGGGUGCAAGCGUUACUCGGAAUUACUGGGCGUAAAGCGUGCGUAGGUGGUGGUUUAAGUCCGUUGUGAAAGCCCUGGGCUCAACCUGGGAAUUGCAGUGGAUACUGGGUCACUAGAGUGUGGUAGAGGAUAGUGGAAUUUCCGGUGUAGCAGUGAAAUGCGUAGAGAUCGGAAGGAACAUCUGUGGCGAAGGCGACCACCUGGACUGAUACUGACACUGAGGUGCGAAAGCGUGGGGAGCAAACAGGAUUAGAUACCCGCGUAGUCCCUGUCUCUUAUAC
This 301-nucleotide ribosomal RNA is filed under the name uncultured bacterium. RNAcentral describes it as "partial 16S ribosomal RNA". It matches the Rfam family "Bacterial small subunit ribosomal RNA", at positions 509 to 807 of the family's 1533-position model. The record is from RNAcentral.